CAGCCGCCACGGGAAUACGUAGGGUGCAAGCGUUAAUCGGAAUUGCUGGGCGUAAAGCGUGCGCAGGCGGUUUGUUAAGACAGAUGUGAAAUCCCCGGGCUCAACCUGGGAACUGCAUUUGUGACUGGCAAGCUAGAGUAUGGCAGAGGGGGGUGGAAUUCCGCGUGUAGCAGUGAAAUGCGUAGAUAUGCGGAGGAACACCGAUGGCGAAGGCAGCCCCCUGGGCCAAUACUGACGCUCAUGCACGAAAGCGUGGGGAGCAAACAGGAUUAGAUACCCCUGUAGUCCCUGUCUCUUAUAA
This 301-nucleotide ribosomal RNA is filed under the name uncultured bacterium. RNAcentral describes it as "partial 16S ribosomal RNA". It matches the Rfam family "Bacterial small subunit ribosomal RNA", at positions 509 to 809 of the family's 1533-position model. The record is from RNAcentral.